GACGAACGCUGGCGGCGUGCUUAACACAUGCAAGUCGAACGGAAAGGCCCUGCUUUUGUGGGGUGCUCGAGUGGCGAACGGGUGAGUAACACGUGAGUAACCUGCCCUUGACUUUGGGAUAACUUCAGGAAACUGGGGCUAAUACCGGAUAGGAGCUCCUGCUGCAUGGUGGGGGUUGGAAAGUUUCGGCGGUUGGGGAUGGACUCGCGGCUUAUCAGCUUGUUGGUGGGGUAGUGGCUUACCAAGGCUUUGACGGGUAGCCGGCCUGAGAGGGUGACCGGCCACAUUGGGACUGAGAUACGGCCCAGACGCCUACGGGAGGCAGCAGUGGGGAAUAUUGCACAAUGGGCGGAAGCCUGAUGCAGAAACGCCGCGUGCGGGAUGACGGCCUUCGGGUUGUAAACCGCUUUCGCCUGUGACGAAGCGUGAGUGACGGUAAUGGGUAAAGAAGCACCGGCUAACUACGUG
This 468-nucleotide ribosomal RNA is filed under the name uncultured bacterium. RNAcentral describes it as "partial 16S ribosomal RNA". It matches the Rfam family "Bacterial small subunit ribosomal RNA", at positions 28 to 507 of the family's 1533-position model. The record is from RNAcentral.